UACGAAGGGGGCUAGCGUUGUUCGGAUUUACUGGGCGUAAAGCGCACGUAGGCGGAUUGUUAAGUCAGGGGUGAAAUCCUGGAGCUCAACUCCAGAACUGCCUUUGAUACUGGCAAUCUAGAGUCCGGAAGAGGUGAGUGGAACUCCUAGUGUAGAGGUGGAAUUCGUAGAUAUUAGGAAGAACACCAGUGGCGAAGGCGGCUCACUGGUCCGGUACUGACUCUGAGGUGCGAAAGCGUGGGGAGCAAACAGG
Molecule: ribosomal RNA, 253 nt
Filed under: uncultured bacterium
Lineage: Bacteria
Description: partial 16S ribosomal RNA
Rfam family: Bacterial small subunit ribosomal RNA
Source: RNAcentral